RNAcentral lists this ribosomal RNA (359 nucleotides) under Nannatherina balstoni. RNAcentral describes it as "partial 12S ribosomal RNA". It matches the Rfam family "Bacterial small subunit ribosomal RNA", at positions 219 to 802 of the family's 1533-position model. The record is from RNAcentral. Lineage: Eukaryota; Metazoa; Chordata; Actinopteri; Centrarchiformes; Percichthyidae.
CCCGGGAACAAGGAGGUGGUAUCAGGCUCUUUCCAUUAGCCCACGACACCUUGCUUAGCCACACCCUCAAGGGAAUUCAGCAGUGAUAGACAUUAAGCCAUAAGUGAAAACUUGACUUAGUCAAAGCUAAGAGGGUCGGUAAAACUCGUGCCAGCCACCGCGGUUAUACGAGAGACCCAAGUUGAUUGACCCCGGCGUAAAGCGUGGUUAGGAAAAGACUAAAACUAAAGCCGAACAUCUUCAGAACUGUCAUACGCAUCCGAAGAUAAGAAGAUCAACUACGAAAGUGGCUUUACACANUCUGAACCCACGAAAGCUAUGACACAAACUGGGAUUAGAUACCCCACUAUGCCUAGCCC